UGCAGAGGGGGCAAGCGUUGUUCGGAAUUACUGGGCGUAAAGGGCGCGUAGGCGGCCUGCUAAGUCGAACGUGAAAUCCCCGGGCUCAACCCGGGAACUGCGUCCGAGACUGGCGGGCUUGAAUCCGGGAGAGGGAUGCGGAAUUCCAGGUGUAGCGGUGAAAUGCGUAGAUAUCUGGAGGAACACCGGUGGCGAAGGCGGCAUCCUGGACCGGCAUUGACGCUGAGGCGCGAAAGCUAGGGGAGCAAACGGG
Molecule: ribosomal RNA, 253 nt
Filed under: uncultured bacterium
Lineage: Bacteria
Description: partial 16S ribosomal RNA
Rfam family: Bacterial small subunit ribosomal RNA
Source: RNAcentral